This 252-nucleotide ribosomal RNA is filed under the name uncultured bacterium. RNAcentral's name for it is "partial 16S ribosomal RNA". It matches the Rfam family "Bacterial small subunit ribosomal RNA", at positions 524 to 776 of the family's 1533-position model. The record is from RNAcentral.
UACGGGGGGGGCAAGCGUUGUUCGGAAUUACUGGGCGUAAAGGCUCGUAGGCGGCCAACUAAGUCAGGCGUGAAAUCCCUCGGCUUAACCGGGGAACUGCAUCUGAUACUGGAUGGCUUGAGAUUGGGAGAGGGAUGCGGAAUUCCAGGUGUAGCGGUGAAAUGCGUAGAUAUCUGGAGGAACACCGGUGGCGAAGGCGGCAUCCUGGACCAACACUGACGCUGAGGAGCGAAAGCCAGGGGAGCAAACGGG